This 207-nucleotide ribosomal RNA is filed under the name uncultured bacterium. RNAcentral describes it as "partial 16S ribosomal RNA". It matches the Rfam family "Bacterial small subunit ribosomal RNA", at positions 568 to 774 of the family's 1533-position model. The record is from RNAcentral.
CGUGUAGGCGGUUCGGUAAGUCAGAUGUGAAAGCCCUGGGCUCAACCCAGGAAGUGCAUUUGAAACUACCAGACUUGAGUACGGGAGAGGAGGGGGGAAUUCCCGGUGUAGAGGUGAAAUUCGUAGAUAUCGGGAGGAAUACCAGUGGCGAAGGCGCCCCUCUGGACCGAUACUGACGCUGAGACGCGAAAGCGUGGGGAGCAAACA